UACGUAGGGUCCGAGCGUUGUCCGGAGUUACUGGGCGUAAAGCGCGCGUAGGCGGCUUUGCAAGUCGGGUGUGAAAUCCCCAGGCUUAACCUGGGAACUGCAUUUGUGACUGCACGGCUAGAGUGUGUCAGAGGGGGGUAGAAUUCCACGUGUAGCAGUGAAAUGCGUAGAUAUGUGGAGGAAUACCGAUGGCGAAGGCAGCCCCCUGGGAUAACACUGACGCUCAUGCACGAAAGCGUGGGGAGCAAACAGG
RNAcentral lists this ribosomal RNA (253 nucleotides) under uncultured bacterium. RNAcentral's name for it is "partial 16S ribosomal RNA". It matches the Rfam family "Bacterial small subunit ribosomal RNA", at positions 524 to 776 of the family's 1533-position model. The record is from RNAcentral.